RNAcentral lists this ribosomal RNA (927 nucleotides) under uncultured archaeon. Its description in RNAcentral is "bacterial SSU rRNA". It matches the Rfam family "Archaeal small subunit ribosomal RNA", at positions 1 to 922 of the family's 1478-position model. The record is from RNAcentral.
UUCCGGUUGAUCCUGCCGGAGGUCACUGCUAUUGGGAUUCGGCUAAGCCAUGCAAGCGGAGGGCGCGGUCGAAAGAUCGUGGCCCCGCACACUGCUCAGUAACACGUAGUCAACCUACCCUUGGGACGGGGACAACCUCGGGAAACUGAGGCUAAUCCCCGAUAGGUGAGGGGCGCUGGAAUGCCUCCUCGCCCAAAGCUCCGGCGCCCAAGGAUGGGACUGCGGUCUAUCAGGCUGUUGGUGGUGUAACGGACCACCAAACCUACGACGGGUACGGGCGAUGGGAGUCGGAGCCCGGAGAUGGGGACUGAGACAAGGCCCCAGGCCCUACGGGGCGCAGCAGGCGCGAAAACUCCGCAAUGCGCGCAAGCGUGACGGGGGAAUCCCAAGUGCCGUUGGUCUUAUGAUCGACGGUUUUUAGGAAGUCUAAGAAGCUUCCAGAAUAAGGGCUGGGCAAGACUGGUGCCAGCCGCCGCGGUAACACCAGCAGCCCAAGUGGUGACCACGAUUAUUGGGCCUAAAGCGCUCGUAGCCGGAUCAGCAAGUCCCUUGUGAAAUCGGGCCGCCUAACGGUUCGGCGUGCAAGGGAUACUGUUGGCCUUGAGGCCGGGAGAGGUCGGAGGUACUCCUGGGGUAGCGGUGAAAUGCUCUAAUCCUAGGGGGACCACCAGUGGCGAAGGCGUCCGACCAGAACGGACCUGACGGUGAGGGGCGAAGGCUAGGGGAGCGAACGGGAUUAGAUACCCCGGUAGUCCUAGCUGUAAGGCAUGCGGGCCAGGUGUCUAGCGCUCCUUGAGGGCGCUAGGUGCCGGAGGGAAGCCGUUAAGCCCGCCGCCUGGGAAGUACGGGCCGCAAGGCUGAAACUUAAAGAAAUUGGCGGGGGGAGCACCACAAGAGGGGGACUGCGUCAAUUGGCAUCACGCCGGU